CAGCCGCCACGGUAAUACGAAGGGGGCUAGCGUUGUUCGGAUUUACCGGGCGUAAAGCGCACGUAGGCGGAUCCUUAAGUCAGAGGUGAAAUCCCAAGGCUCAACCUUGGAACUGCCUUUUAUACUGGGGAUCUCGAGUUCGGGAGAGGUGAGUGGAACUGCGAGUGUAGAGGUGAAAUUCAUAGAUAUUCGCAAGAACACCAGUGGCGAAGGCGGCUCACUGGCCCGAUACUGACGCUGAGGUGCGAAAGCGUGGGGAGCAAACAGGAUUAGAUACCCGGGUAGUCCCUGUCUCUUAUAC
This 301-nucleotide ribosomal RNA is filed under the name uncultured bacterium. RNAcentral's name for it is "partial 16S ribosomal RNA". It matches the Rfam family "Bacterial small subunit ribosomal RNA", at positions 509 to 807 of the family's 1533-position model. The record is from RNAcentral.